GGCAGUGGUAGUUCAGUGGUUAAGACUUUGGACUACUGAUCAGAAGAUCAUUAGUUCAAUCCCCAGCACUACCA
This is a non-coding RNA of Pangasius djambal, 74 nucleotides long. Lineage: Eukaryota; Metazoa; Chordata; Actinopteri; Siluriformes; Pangasiidae. The record is from the annotation of a GenBank genome assembly.